This 350-nucleotide unclassified non-coding RNA is filed under the name uncultured fungus. RNAcentral's name for it is "sequence contains ITS1". The stretch from base 1 to 105 matches the Rfam family "5.8S ribosomal RNA", at positions 50 to 154 of the family's 154-position model. The record is from RNAcentral. Lineage: Eukaryota; Fungi.
GAAAUGCGUUACCUAGUGUGACAUGCAUACACUCGUGAAUCACCGACAUCUUGAACGUAACUGACGGGGUUCGGUUUACCGAAUCUCAAUCGCGGUCGAGUGCCAAUAUACACUAAAUCAACUUAAUAAUUGAGAUCUCGGGUAAGCUUUUUUUUAAAAAAAGCGAUUUACCCGUAUCUUUAAAUCCACCGAUUACGGAUAUUUUUUACACUGAAGCGGUAAUUUAAUUAUUUAAUCAGUUAAAUUUUAUCCGUAUACCGGACCUUAAAUAAUUUUCUUCUUACCCGAUAUUCUCGGGUAAUAUAAGACUUAUUUGACCUCGACUGCGAUAGACUACCCGCUGAAUUUAA